AGUCCCCUCAUCACUAAGUUCAGGUUAAGCUACUGAAGCUAAAGCAGACCCAAGGAACCCAGGAGUUUUGAGUAGAACAUUUAAAAAAGAUAAUGAGCAAAUUAUAAUGAUGUCUUCAGCCUGCCUGAUUCUGUAAUGUCUCUGUGAUUGUUACUCCUAUAUCAGUUCAAAUCAGAGUUACUUUCCAUGCAUGGUGAUGCUAUGCAACAUUACUGACAACCAGAGCUAAAGUGUGAAAUUAGAGCAUUUGAAAACACUAAUUUGAUUAUAGCUGUCAAUUUAAUAAGCUGUGUACAGUUAAGGCCAGUCACUCAGUAUCCAAAUAUCUGUGGGUGCAAUAAGCAGGAAAGGGCUCUAAUAUCUAAUUUACAUGCAGCUCAGUAGUGGUUUUACUAUAUUUCUAAGAUCUCUGUGAAAGCACUUGCUCGGUGUGUGGGGGUGUACGCUGCUAAAGAGACAUGGAACUCUUUUUAAACUGUUUAUUUUAUUGUAUUGUCCAAGUACCAGACCUCCCUGCAAGCCUUUCAGCCAGUUCUUGUGGAUUUGCUACCACAUUUUCUUUUUUUUUUUUUAAAUUGGUUUUUCUCCCCAUUACUGUCAGAGAGAUGCACUCAGACAACAGGGGACACUGACUAACUCACCGGCUUUACAGCCGGACUGGCUGAAAUAUCACCAUUGAAACCAUUUUGGAUGGAAAAUUGUGUGUUUUUCCUACACAACAGUUUUUCCCCCCGUAAGUAUCUCCUGUCCAUGGAAAAAUUUGCCUUUUAGUCAAACAGAAACAUUGAAAACAGAAACAUUUUUUGUUCUUCAGUGUAAAGCAGAAAUUUUUUGCAGGGAGAAACAAUUUUCUGACCAUCUCUAUUAUACAUCAAGAAGAGUGAAACAGCCUACAAGGUGUCAGCAAAGGAACAAAGUGAAAGAAAGACAUCUUUUUUUCUACUGUCUUUCACUUGUAGUUCCUUUAAACAUUAUGUGUAACAAUAGCAGGUAAAAAAGCCUUCAGGCCAAUGUGGUUUUGAGGUUGGAAGGUGUCCUUUGAAUUAGUUAAAAUAAAAGCCAGGAAGCUUGGCUUUCAAGCAGCUGUUCAUUAGGUGGUGCUAUGCUGAGAUGUCAUCAGACCAUAACAUUAUAUUCCUCUGGGAGUUUUAAUCUUAUGUUUAUUACAGCCUUUUUAAAGCAGUUAGUGGAAAGGGAGGAAACUUGUGAAAUGAACUAGUCAUUAAUAGUUACCUUUACUGCUGUGAAACUGCUCCCUUUGUGUCUGGGAGAUCUUUGUUUCUGUCUAUAGCUUUCAACUAAGCGAUGUUGUUAUAUAUUUUCUUUAGGAAACCAAACUGGGACUGGGAAAAUACCAUAAACUAUCUUUACUUUAAAGAGCAAAUGUGAGUUAGCAAAAAGUUACACUUGUGAUAAAGACAAUCUAUGUGAAUGCUACUAUGGCUGGGCAAAAAAUUCCUGCAAAAGAUAAGGCCCCUUUUUAAAUUGGCCUGUUCUCAAAUCUUCCUGGAAAUUGGAGCAAAUUUUUUUAAAAGGGUGAUUAAAUUUCAUGUGAAAUAUUUUCUGCUCGCUUGCCCAGAAGAACUGAAAGGCCACGGUUGCUAAGAAACCACACCCUUGUGGCUUGAGAAGGUGGUAGGAGCUCCCUAGCGCCCAUGUGGUCUAGCAGAAAAGCAUCGGGCUGGGAGCUCUUCUCUGCCAUUCAUUGGCCUUUGGAGUGCUUUCCACUUAGAUAGCCUCUACAAAUGUUAGGUUUCGUGACACCCAUGCAAGGUAGAUAAAUAUCACUAUCCCAUUUUAAAGAUAGGGAAACAAGGUCAGAGCAUUUGUGUGUGUCCAAGGUUCUUGUCAGAACAAGGGUUAAUUCUGGCCUCCAUCCCUAUGUAUAAUCCAUUAGUGCUCCCUAGCCAAGGCAAUUAACCUCCCUGAGCCACUGUCUUUCUAUCUGGAAAAUGGGGAUGAUGAGAUUUACCAGAGGUGAAAUCUGAAAAAACAAAAAAAAACAA
Long non-coding RNA from Chelonia mydas (Green sea turtle), 2006 nucleotides. RefSeq lists it as uncharacterized. The transcript has 2 exons. The record is from RefSeq and is a predicted model, not a curated record. Lineage: Eukaryota; Metazoa; Chordata; Testudines; Cheloniidae.